CCCUUUAUACCCCGCGGAGAAAAUAUAGCAUAUAAGUAAGGGGCAGAGAGUAAUUAAACUAAAUAAGGAUUCCCUCAGUAAUGGCGAAUGAACAGGGAUCAGCUCAGCAUGGAAAUUGGGGCCUCUGGCCUUGAAUUGUAGUCUUGAGAUGGCAUCGCCAGCGGAGGCGCAGAUGUAAGCCUCUUGGAAAAGAGCAUCAAUGAGGGUGAGAGUCCCGUUUGUCAUCUGCAGUCCCCCGUGCACGGCUUGCUUUCUAAGAGUCACGUUCCUUGGGAUUGGAGCGCAAAUUGGGUGGUAAAUUUCAUCUAAAGCUAAAUAUUGGUUCGAGACCGAUAGCAAACAAGUACCAUGAGGGAAAGGUGAAAAGGACUUUGAAAAGAGAGUUAAAAGUGCCUGAAAUUGCUGAAAGGGAAGCGAAUGGAACCAGUUUUUCUUGGCGAGAUUGUUGCGUGCUAAUGUGAUGGCUUGUUGCUUCAACGCAAGUGUUGCAGCGGGUUUUGAUCUGGACGUGCGCGGUGCUUCUUGCCUUGGGUGUCAACGUCGGUUCAGACUUGAGGAAAACUCCAGGGACAUGGUAAGUCACUUCUGGGUGACUGAAAGUGCUUGGCAGAACUCAUUUCUGAACUGAAUUCCGCAUGUCUGGUCGCAGUGCUUUCACUUCCCGUGCUUCGUUCGGAGCUCUCUGGGCUCUGCGCUGGGCUGGGACGUGGGGCAUCUCCCUGACAUCAGUACGAUGACAAAAUGGUUUUAUUCGACCCGUCUUGAAACACGGACCAAGGAGUCUAACAUAUGUGCAAGUUCACGGGUGUUAAACCUGCUUGCGCAAUGAAAGUGACUGCUGGGAUAUUUGCACCAGCAACCGACCAAUCAAUUGUGAGAGGUUUGAGUAUGAGCAUAUCUGUUAGGACCCGAAAGAUGGUGAACUAUGCCUGAGAAAGGGCGAAGUCAGGGGAAACUCUGAUGGAGGCUCGUAGCGAUACUGACGUGCAAAUCGUUCGUCAUACCUUGGGUAUAGGGGCGAAAGACUUUUCGCCCCCUCUAGUAGCUGUGUUUUUCCCUCUCCGGAA
RNAcentral lists this ribosomal RNA (1067 nucleotides) under Takayama acrotrocha. RNAcentral describes it as "partial large subunit ribosomal RNA". It matches the Rfam family "Eukaryotic large subunit ribosomal RNA", at positions 24 to 979 of the family's 3401-position model. Lineage: Eukaryota; Dinophyceae; Gymnodiniales; Kareniaceae. The record is from RNAcentral.